AAAAACUAUGUGUCUUCUUCACUUUACGCAUUUACAUACCAUUACGUUAUUCUCAUCGAUCAAACAUAAAUAUAGCCCGAAUCCGAACUAACAGUAACAUCAGAAGAUAAUUAUCCCCGAUCAAUGCUAAGACCACACUAGCACAAAAUGAUCCAACAACAUCGUUUUGAACAGUAUCAUGUUUGUACAAUACUUCUUUGUAAAUAUUUUUGCUCCGGUUUGUGUAACCAACAAAGACAAAUUAUAAAUUAUUUACGAGGUUGUAAAAACAAAUAAUGAGACUGCUUUUUACUUUUAAUGGCUUAUUAUAGAUGUCGUUAGACUUCUAGUUUGAUUUUUAAUAGUGACGCCCUUAGGGACACAUUCCCUUAGGAAAGAAGUAGAAAGUUAUAGAAUUCUCUCUGGCUCGAGCAACAAGAGGAGUCUUUACCCGCUGGUUUUUAGAAAGUUCCUGAAGUUGACUUGCCCAUAUUAGAAAGAUUCCCUGAUACAAAACCCCCCACUUUCAAAAACCCCCAUC
This 520-nucleotide long non-coding RNA is filed under the name Brassica napus (rape). Its description in RNAcentral is "long non-coding RNA (BNAP_LNC019552)". The record is from RNAcentral. Lineage: Eukaryota; Viridiplantae; Streptophyta; Magnoliopsida; Brassicales; Brassicaceae.